Molecule: long non-coding RNA, 1305 nt
Filed under: Mytilus galloprovincialis (Mediterranean mussel)
Lineage: Eukaryota; Metazoa; Mollusca; Bivalvia; Mytilida; Mytilidae
Source: RNAcentral
CGGCAAUAUAAAUUUUCUGUCAAUAUGUUAACAAACUUUAACAUAUUUUGUUCAAAUACUUAAAAUUAUGCGACUGGACAACAAAUAGAAAGAAAAAAAAAUCUGGGCGAAUGGACCCUGGGCGAAAAGGUAUCAGGGCGAACACGUAGUAUGGCGAACGUGAUUCAGGGCGAACAGACCUGGAUUCGUUACUUUCCCCCUUACUUAUAUUCUCUAUCAAAAAAAUUUCGUUGUUAGAAUAAAGUACAAAGAACUUCUGAAGGAUUUGCCUUCAACUGCAAUUAUAUUGUAUGCUGGCGAAACAAAACUAUCCAUAGCCGCUGCAUGUUUAUGCACCUGUCCUGAUUGAUUGAGGGGCCUGUCGUUCAGCAGUUAUCGUUUGUUGAUGUUGUUCAUUGGUAUUUUCCCGUUUGGAUAUACAUGAUAUAUAACUUAGAUCGUUGGUUUUCCUGUUCGAAUUGUGUACGCUAAUAAUUUUGGGGUCCUUUAUAGCCUGCUGUUUGGUCUGUAUCAAAGCCCUGUGUAAAAGGCCGUUCUUUGACCUGUGUUUGUUAUUAUCAGGUUGAGAACAACCCUCCCUCAGACAAGGGGUCAUUUUACUGAUGUAGAAAAGAAAAUAGAAAUACCAAGAAUUUGUAUAGUUCUAUACAAAACCUUCGAAAACUUAGAAUUUUGUACCCAAAAAGAGGAGAGUUACAUCAUAUUUUAAACAACUUUUUCUAAAAGAGGGGUCCACUUAUUUUGAAUAAUAUUAAACUGUUAAAGUAAAUGUGUUAACAUGGUUCAAGUCCAGGAAUAUUACAAAAUUCUUGGACAUGUUUUGACCAUUUAAUACCAGAUAGAUAAAUAGUUCUUUGAGAAAAUAUGAGCCCUUUUGUACAAACAAAUAUAUUAUAACUUAUAUUGAUCCCUCAUAAAACAUGUAAAAGGGAUAUUUAUAACAUUAAGGGGUUGUCCCCAAACUGAUUAUGACUUGGAUCGAGAAUUGUCUCAUUGUCAGUCACACAUACAUAGACCAGAUUUAAUUAUUUCUUGGUGAACAGGGAAAAAAUACUUCAGAAAUUAAAGAAAUGUCAAAGUACAAGUGAGAAAUCAAGCUUUAAUAUUGUCAAAACCUACUAUUUUAUGUUUACAAAAAAAAAUUAUAAUCGCUCGCCUUUACUUUUCAAGCUUCGCCUCAAAAAUUUGCAAAUUAAAUAUUUUUUUAUUAAAAUUUCAAAUCGCUCGCUCGCCCCAAAUUUUGGAGUCCAAAAAUCCGUAGAACAAGAAAUUAAAUUGGUGUGGCCUAACAUAAUCAAAAAUUAA